RNAcentral lists this transfer RNA (71 nucleotides) under Cordylochernes scorpioides. RNAcentral describes it as "tRNA-Gly". It matches the Rfam family "tRNA". Rfam says of the family: Transfer RNA (tRNA) molecules are approximately 80 nucleotides in length. Their secondary structure includes four short double-helical elements and three loops (D, anti-codon, and T loops). Lineage: Eukaryota; Metazoa; Arthropoda; Arachnida; Pseudoscorpiones; Chernetidae. The record is from RNAcentral.
CCAUCGGUGGUUCAGUGGUAGAAUGCUCGCUUGCCACGCGGGCCGCCCGGGUUCGAUUCCCGACCGAUGAC